UAAUACGGAGGGUGCAAGCGUUGUUCGGAAUUACUGGGCGUAAAGAGCUCGUAGGUGGCUUUGUAAGUCAGAUGUGAAAUACUCUUGCUCAACGAGAGAAUUGCAUUUGAAACUGCAUAGCUUGAGUACGGGAGGGGGAAGUGGAAUUCCAGGUGUAGCGGUGAAAUGCGUAGAUAUCUGGAAGAACACCGGUGGCGAAGGCGACUUCCUGGACCGAUACUGACACUGAGGAGCGAAAGCGUGGGGAGCAAACAGGAUUAGAUACCCUGGUAGUCCACGCCGUAAACGAUGGGCACUAGGUGUAGGGGGUUUACCCUUCUGUGCCGAAGCUAACGCAUUAAGUGCCCCGCCUGGGGAGUACGGUCGCAAGGCUA
RNAcentral lists this ribosomal RNA (374 nucleotides) under uncultured delta proteobacterium. RNAcentral describes it as "bacterial SSU rRNA". It matches the Rfam family "Bacterial small subunit ribosomal RNA", at positions 521 to 896 of the family's 1533-position model. The record is from RNAcentral. Lineage: Bacteria; Deltaproteobacteria.